Molecule: ribosomal RNA, 498 nt
Filed under: uncultured bacterium
Lineage: Bacteria
Description: partial 16S ribosomal RNA
Rfam family: Bacterial small subunit ribosomal RNA
Source: RNAcentral
AUUGAACGCUGGCGGUAUGCCUUACACAUGCAAGUCGAACGGUAACAGGUCUUCGGAUGCUGACGAGUGGCGAACGGGUGAGUAAUACAUCGGAACGUGCCUAGUAGUGGGGGAUAACUAAUCGAAAGAGAGGCUAAUACCGCAUGAGAUCUACGGAUGGAAGGAGGGGAUCGCCAGAACUUGUGCUACUGGAGGGGCCGAUGGCAGAAUAGGUAGUUGGUGGGAGAAAAGCUGACCAAGCCGACGAUCUGUAGCUGGUCUGAGAGGACGAUCAGCCACACUGGGACUGAGACACAGCCCAGACUCCUACGGGAGGCAGCAGUGGGGAAUUUUGGACAAUGGGCGAAAGCCUGAUCCAGCAAUGCCGCGUGCAGGAUGAAGGCCUUCGGGUUGUAAACUGCUUUUGUACGGAACGAAAAGCCCCGGGUUAAUACCCUGGGGUCAUGACGGUACCGUAAGAAUAAGCACCGGCUAACUACGUGCCAGCCGCCGCCGUAA